Chenopodium quinoa (quinoa) is the source of this 1727-nucleotide long non-coding RNA. RefSeq lists it as uncharacterized. Lineage: Eukaryota; Viridiplantae; Streptophyta; Magnoliopsida; Caryophyllales; Amaranthaceae. The transcript has 7 exons. The record is from RefSeq and is a predicted model, not a curated record.
GCUUAUCACCAAUAACUAGUAGAAAAAAUGAAAUAGGCACCGCAAAAUGCGCAACGGUUUUUAAAAACCGGUUCGAAAAAAAAUAGGCGGGAUUAAGGGGAAGACUUUUCGCACCGGUUCGGUUCGAACCGGUGCGGAAUCUAUUGUUAAAUAAAAAAAAACGGGUCAAUGUUCUUUCUUUCUCUUUCAUUUCCUCUAUCUUUCCUCCUCUCUCAUCUGCCUCUCUCUCCUCCAUUGAAGCGUACUCGAAAUUCUCCAUUGAAGGGGCUUCUGAGCUUUCCUCAGCACUUUCCUCAAAAUUACGAAUUCAAUUUUCACUUACACGCUCCGCUAUUCUAUCUACCAAUUUUCCAUUGAAGCACACUCCACGUUCUCCAUUGAGGCGCCCUUCUGAGAUUUCUAUCCUCCAUUGAAGCAGCUUCUGAGGGGGACCAAGACUUUCCUGGUAUCAUACCACUGGCAAUCAAAGAUGUCUUCAGCAUUAUACAGGAAACUCCUGGGCGAGAGUUCCUGCUCCGUGUUUCCUAUCUCGAGAUCUAUAAUGAGAUUAUAAAUGAUUUGCUUAAUCCAACUGGUCAGAAUCUAUGUGUAAGAGAAGAUGCCCAGGGAACUUAUGUUGAUUAAAGAAGAGGGGGUGCUAGAAUAGUUAUGCUUCGAGUCUUAUGUUUGCAGCGAGUGAUAGGAAGCAUUCGAAUCAAUGAUCACUUGUGAUCAGCAAGUGUGUUGCUCCAAUGACAGUCCAUUUAUCUACCUAUUUUAUUGCUCUUUUCUUUGAUUUAUAGUUAGUAGAUGAUAUUCUUAUAGGCAGGCAACAAAGGUCUGAUAAUUCUGAAUCGUGGUUGAAUGCCUAUGACAGUCUUUUUCAGAUGAUACAUGCUUGAUGACCUCUACCCCAAAAUUCUAAUCCUUAGCUGCUGAUAAUUAAUUUUACAUUGGUUAAGAUAGGGGCUAGUAAGAUCAAUUAUUGGAUUUAAUAAAAAAUGAGGGUGAUUAUUUUCAGAUCAAAUAAGUCCAGGAGUUUUUAGGAGUAUUCAGGUGUUUUCAGGUGAAUACAACAUAGUCUAUGAUCCCUGGGCAAGCUGGAAGCUCUGGGCCGCUAUAUUGCAAGCUCUGCAGUUGCUUUUAGUUGAGGUCAUAAACAAUGGCUGGCAGAAGUUCAGUUUCUUGGUGUUGUGGAACACCCUAAUCUUGUCAAGCUCAUAGGAUACUGCGCUGUGGAUGGAGAGAGAGGAAUACAGAGAUUGCUCGUUUAUGAGUACAUGCCUAACAAAAGUUUGGAAGAUCACCUUUUUAAGAAGACAUACCCACAUCUUCUUUCUUUUCUUUCUCCAUUAAAAAGGCUAGAAGAGAAAAGAUCAGUGAGAGGAUGAGAAUACUACAAGAUCUUGUCCCUGGGUGUAAUAAGGUUCGACCACUGCUGCUGUUGCCCAUUAAUCAGAGUGUUAUUUGCCCAUUACUGCCUAUAAGCUCAUAAACAACUCUCUUCCCUACCCUAACCCUUUCCUUCUCAAGCUCGACAGUUCUUCCCCUUUCCUUUGCCAAACAGUUUGAUAGAAAAACUAUGGUAAGCAGUUAUAUUAGAGUCGGUCAAGUUGAUGCAAUGUCCGGGUUAAAAAGUAGCAGAAGCAGAAUAGCAAUAGCAGAACAGCAAGCAGAACACAAAGAAGCAGAAGCAGAAUUUAUAUAUUUUUUUUUUUUUUUUUCUAGUGUAAUAUUACAAUUUAUUG